CCUACGGGAGGCAGCAGUGAGGAAUAUUGGUCAAUGGGCGUAAGCCUGAACCAGCCAAGUCGCGUGAGGGAUGAAGGUUCUAUGGAUCGUAAACCUCUUUUAUAAGGGAAUAAAGUGUGGGACGUGUCCUAUUUUGUCUGUACCUUAUGAAUAAGGAUCGGCUAACUCCGUGCCAGCAGCCGCGGUAAUACGGAGGAUCCGAGCGUUAUCCGGAUUUAUUGGGGUUAAAGGGUGCGUAGGCGGCCUUUUAAGGCAGCGGUGAAAGCCUGUGGCUCAACCAGAGGAUUGCCGUUGAAACUGGGGGGCUUGAGUGUAUUUGGGGCAGGCGGAAUGCGUGGUGUAGCGGUGAAAUGCUUAGAUAUCAGGCAGAACCCCGAUGGCGAAGGCAGCCUGCCAAGCCAUGACUGACGUUGAGGCACGAAAGCGUGGGGAUCAAACAGGAUUAGAUACCCCGGUAGUC
Molecule: ribosomal RNA, 460 nt
Filed under: uncultured bacterium
Lineage: Bacteria
Description: partial 16S ribosomal RNA
Rfam family: Bacterial small subunit ribosomal RNA
Source: RNAcentral